RNAcentral lists this ribosomal RNA (503 nucleotides) under uncultured bacterium. RNAcentral describes it as "partial 16S ribosomal RNA". It matches the Rfam family "Bacterial small subunit ribosomal RNA", at positions 30 to 523 of the family's 1533-position model. The record is from RNAcentral.
AUUGAACGCUGGCGGUAGGCUUAACACAUGCAAGUCGAGCGGAGUGAUGGUGCUUGCACUAUCACUUAGCGGCGGACGGGUGAGUAAUGCUUAGGAAUCUGCCUAUUAGUGGGGGACAACAUCUCGAAAGGGAUGCUAAUACCGCAUACGUCCUACGGGAGAAAGCAGGGGAUCACUUGUGACCUUGCGCUAAUAGAUGAGCCUAAGUCGGAUUAGCUAGUUGGGUGGGUAAAGGCCUACCAAGGCGACGAUCUGUAGCGGGGCUGAGAGGAUGGUCCGCCACACUGGGACUGGGACACGGCCCAGACUCCUACGGGAGGCAGCAGUGGGGAAUAUUGGACAAUGGGGGGAACCCUGAUCCAGCCAUGCCGCGUGUGUGAAGAAGGCCUUAUGGUUGUAAAGCACUUUAAGCGAGGAGGAGGCUCUUUUGGUUAAUACCCAAGAUGAGUGGACGUUACUCGCAGAAUAAGCACCGGCUAACUCUGUGCCAGCCGCCGCCGUAA